Molecule: long non-coding RNA, 873 nt
Filed under: Homo sapiens (human)
Lineage: Eukaryota; Metazoa; Chordata; Mammalia; Primates; Hominidae
Description: non-protein coding lnc-WDR73-10:3
Source: RNAcentral
AGUCCUGGCGCUGGCGCUCCUUGCAGCAGAAGGAGCUGCGGCUGCAGCGCAGCAGGUUCUCCAUCUUCCCGCACAGCUCGCAGUACUGCCGGUCUCGCUCGCUCGAGCUCGGCUCGCCGGGCCCGCAGCUGUCAUUGGCCAUGGCGACCGCAGCUGAGCAGGAGGGGUGCGGCCGGACGGCCUCGCCCGAGGCUGGGGAGCGGAGAGAGAGAUAGGGGCCGUCACUGCGCCAUGCACCCGCUACCCUUGACUCAAGGAGGCUGGCACCCAGGGCCCUCGGCCGGGUCGCUUCCGAGUCCUAGGCUCCGGCGCAGCGCAGGCGGCCGCCUCAGCGCCUAAUCGCCGCCGUGGGCUGAGAGAACGCGGCCUGUGCGGCGAACGGCAACCCGGGCUCGGGCGCGCGAGCCUGCGGAGCGCAAGACCGGCCCCCUCGGCUGCCGCCACCGCCUCAGCGUCCCGGGCGGCCCGGCCCAGGCUGCGGAGGAGCGCAGGGUUCUUUCUGCAAGUCUUCCACCAGGGCCACUGCCUCCUCUCCACUCUCCGGAUGCUGCUGUCUGACCCAGAUCUGGAUCUCCUGGAGAAGGACAGUCGGGAACUGUUCUAGGACCAGCAACUCCAGGAUCUGCUCUUUUGUACACUUCUCUGGCCUUAGCCACUGACAACAGAGCUUCUGGAGCUGGAGGAGGGCCUCUCGGGGUCGUGAUGCUUCUUGGUAACGGAAAUGCCAAAAGCUCUGGCAGGAUGUCUCUGGUCCAGGGUAAUUCCCUUGAAGGGAAAUUUCCUGCUCCCAGUGGGAAUCUUCUUCCAGUUUAACUAUUUGGAGAUCUUGUACUGAAGGAGUCUGGAUUUGUUGGUCCACAGCUACAGCCAUUG